UACAGAGGGGGCAAGCGUUGUUCGGAAUUACUGGGCGUAAAGGGCGCGUAGGCGGCCGCCUAAGUCAGACGUGAAAUCCCUCGGCUCAACCGGGGAACUGCGUCUGAUACUGGGUGGCUUGAAUCCGGGAGAGGGAUGCGGAAUUCCAGGUGUAGCGGUGAAAUGCGUAGAUAUCUGGAGGAACACCGGUGGCGAAGGCGGCAUCCUGGACCGGCAUUGACGCUGAGGCGCGAAAGCCUGGGGAGCAAACGGG
RNAcentral lists this ribosomal RNA (253 nucleotides) under uncultured bacterium. RNAcentral describes it as "partial 16S ribosomal RNA". It matches the Rfam family "Bacterial small subunit ribosomal RNA", at positions 524 to 776 of the family's 1533-position model. The record is from RNAcentral.